RNAcentral lists this ribosomal RNA (449 nucleotides) under uncultured bacterium. Its description in RNAcentral is "partial 16S ribosomal RNA". It matches the Rfam family "Bacterial small subunit ribosomal RNA", at positions 29 to 523 of the family's 1533-position model. The record is from RNAcentral.
AACGAACGCUGGCGGCAGGCCUAACACAUGCAAGUCGAACGCCCUAGCAAUAGGGAGUGGCAGACGGGUGAGUAACGCGUGGGAACGUGCCUUUCGGUUCGGAAUAGCUCAGGGAAACUUGAGCUAAUACCGGAUACGCCCUUCGGGGGAAAGAUUUAUUGCCGAAAGAUCGGCCCGCGUCCGAUUAGCUAGUUGGUGAGGUAAAGGCUCACCAAGGCGACGAUCGGUAGCUGGUCUGAGAGGAUGAUCAGCCACACUGGGACUGAGACACGGCCCAGACUCCUACGGGAGACAGCAGUGGGGAAUAUUGGACAAUGGGCGCAAGCCUGAUCCAGCCAUGCCGCGUGAGUGAUGAAGGCCCUAGGGUUGUAAAGCUCUUUCGCCAGGGACGAUAAUGACGGUACCUGGAUAAGAAGCCCCGGCUAACUUCGUGCCAGCAGCCGCCGUAA